Long non-coding RNA from Patella vulgata (common limpet), 1143 nucleotides. RefSeq lists it as uncharacterized. The transcript has 4 exons. The record is from RefSeq and is a predicted model, not a curated record. Lineage: Eukaryota; Metazoa; Mollusca; Gastropoda; Patellidae.
AGAGGCACAAAUUUCGAAUGGUUAAUUAAGUUAUAUUGGUUUAGUUCAUGAAUGAUGAUGAAAAUAAAUAGUUGCAGUUUCCCAAUCAACAAUUGUCAUCUUUCUAUAUGGGCCAUGUUACCCAAACCAAAAAGCCAAACACACCAUACGAAAACCUCUCCUCCACCAGUCUUCUACCACAAACAAUUGAAUUAGCCGCCCAAAUGCGAAGAAAGAAUAUUCGCACCAUUUAAAGGAAAAGAAGAAAACUGGAGGAGGACCCCCACCCCUAUCGGAGGUUACACAGAAAAUUGUUGAGAUGAUCCCAAAGGAAUUUGGCCAGUUUGUUAAUCCAUAUGACGACGAUGCUGCAGAGAUGGCUGAAGACGAAAAUCCAGUCUCAACUCAGAAUUGACUGAGGAUGUUCAUGAACAUAUAGAAUUAAACGAAGAUGAUAUUAGACCUAAUGAUAUUGGUGAUACAGUCGAGGUUGACAAAGUUAAAGAAUUAGAAAAUGAAACCCCAGUUUUAAGGCGAAAACCUGAACCUGCUCAAAAAAGAGUGAAAACCUCAGUUUCACCAAUAGUGAGUGAAUUUGAAAGCAGUAUAUAUGAAUUAUCCAAAACAGAGCAUAACUGCAAAUUACAGCUUUUAAAAGAAGAACACACAGUUAAAAUGCAAAUUCUUGAUCUUAAGAAGCAACUGCUAGAAAAUCAGAAGAUCAAGCCCAUCUAGCCCAUUGUGAUGAAACUGACUAUGUAUGUUUAUAACCCACAAAUCUUGGUACUUUUCCCUUCAUUGUUAGCUUGUUGGCCUUCUAGAGGUCGUAAUCUUAUUUGAAUUUGUAUUUCAUGAAAAUUGGACUGAUACUGACAAAAUGGCCAUCCUCCUUUAUGCAAAUAAUAUAAGCAUGUAGUACCAAGGUUGUUGACCCUCUCGAAAUCAGUUUUUAUCCAAUUUUGAUCCAGUUUUUGCUUCUAUAUUAACACAUGUGGUGCUGUAACAAUCAAGAUUAUGGCCCCUGAUUGUACAUGUAUGAACAGUCGUUGUAUUUUAGCCCCUGACCAUCUCAUGCAAAGCAUAUCUAGUAUGACAACCGCUUGUUACACUUCUAGCAAGAAACAUCAUAUGUCAUAAUAGCCAAGUUAAUCUAAUUAAUGAAAA